RNAcentral lists this ribosomal RNA (253 nucleotides) under uncultured bacterium. RNAcentral's name for it is "partial 16S ribosomal RNA". It matches the Rfam family "Bacterial small subunit ribosomal RNA", at positions 524 to 776 of the family's 1533-position model. The record is from RNAcentral.
UACAGAGGGGGCAAGCGUUGUUCGGAAUUACUGGGCGUAAAGGGCGCGUAGGCGGCCUUCUAAGUCGAACGUGAAAUCCCCGGGCUCAACCCGGGAACUGCGUCCGAUACUGGAAGGCUUGAAUCCGGGAGAGGGAUGCGGAAUUCCAGGUGUAGCGGUGAAAUGCGUAGAUAUCUGGAGGAACACCGGUGGCGAAGGCGGCAUCCUGGACCGGCAUUGACGCUGAGGCGCGAAAGCCAGGGGAGCGAAAGGG